GACGAACGCUGGCGGCGUGCUUAACACAUGCAAGUCGAACGGAAAGGCCCUGCUUUUGUGGGGUGCUCGAGUGGCGAACGGGUGAGUAACACGUGAGUAACCUGCCCUUGACUUUGGGAUAACUUCAGGAAACUGGGGCUAAUACCGGAUAGGAGCUCCUGCUGCAUGGUGGGGGUUGGAAAGUUUCGGCGGUUGGGGAUGGACUCGCGGCUUAUCAGCUUGUUGGUGGGGUAGUGGCUUACCAAGGCUUUGACGGGUAGCCGGCCUGAGAGGGUGACCGGCCACAUUAGGACUGAGAUACGGCCCAGGCUCCUACGGGAGGCAGCAGUGGGGAAUAUUGCACAAUGGGCGGAAGCCUGAUGCAGCAACGCCGCGUGCGGGAUGACGGCCUUCGGGUUGUAAACCGCUUUCGCCUGUGACGAAGCGUGAGUGACGGUAAUGGGUAAAGAAGCACCGGCUAACUACGUG
This 468-nucleotide ribosomal RNA is filed under the name uncultured bacterium. RNAcentral's name for it is "partial 16S ribosomal RNA". It matches the Rfam family "Bacterial small subunit ribosomal RNA", at positions 28 to 507 of the family's 1533-position model. The record is from RNAcentral.